AGAAAAAAAAGAAAAGAAAAAAAGAAAAGCCACGCUUGACUGAUAAUGCAUUGCUUUGGAUGGUGAAACAUUAUGAAAGUUUAAUUUUUAAUUAAAUCUGAAAUACCAAUUAUAACUGAAAGAGAUUUUAACCUGUUUCUUUUCAGACUGCCUGAAGUUACAUUUAGAGACUGAAAUCACUGCACCUUAAAAACAAAAGAUUGGGCUGCACUGUAUUCCUUAGGUCUAACUUUUGCAUCGGAUUCUUUAGGGAAAACACCUACCAAGGCUUCCUAUUACCUAUUUCACAGUGAACUGGUGAGGGACCUGCUAUGGCCAUCCCUUCAGAGUGCUGAUGCAGAAUGUUUCAUCAUUACUAACAGGAUACUCCUCAUGCUAUUGCUGUCUGCAUUUAGAAGAAUAAGAAACAUGACCUCCCGAACCUAUUAUCACAGAUUUUGGCAAAUAUUUUAGAAUGACUCUGCUAAACAAGAUGGAAGUACUCAAAGGACUUGUUUGGAAGACCCUCCAGAGAGAUACAUUUCCAAAGGAGACUCCUGAGUGGACAGAAGGGGUGAUAGGGUGAAGUUGAGCACUGAUGUUUCCUGUGUGGAACACUGUAUGUGUUGGUGAUUCUUUGAACUACCCAUUAGUAUUCUGUGGUAUUCUGUACAUUUGAAAUGCAUUGGCUUCAUUUG
Molecule: long non-coding RNA, 677 nt
Filed under: Piliocolobus tephrosceles (Ugandan red Colobus)
Lineage: Eukaryota; Metazoa; Chordata; Mammalia; Primates; Cercopithecidae
Description: lncRNA (ENSPTEG00000022021.1)
Source: RNAcentral